RNAcentral lists this ribosomal RNA (465 nucleotides) under Vreelandella stevensii. RNAcentral's name for it is "partial 16S ribosomal RNA". It matches the Rfam family "Bacterial small subunit ribosomal RNA", at positions 338 to 795 of the family's 1533-position model. Lineage: Bacteria; Pseudomonadati; Pseudomonadota; Gammaproteobacteria; Oceanospirillales; Halomonadaceae. The record is from RNAcentral.
CCUACGGGGUGCAGCAGUGGGGAAUAUUGGACAAUGGGCGAAAGCCUGAUCCAGCCAUGCCGCGUGUGUGAAGAAGGCCUUCGGGUUGUAAAGCACUUUCAGUGGGGAAGAAAGCCUUGGGGCUAAUACCCUCGAGGAAGGACAUCACCCACAGAAGAAGCACCGGCUAACUCCGUGCCAGCAGCCGCGGUAAUACGGAGGGUGCGAGCGUUAAUCGGAAUUACUGGGCGUAAAGCGCGCGUAGGCGGUCUGAUAAGCCGGUUGUGAAAGCCCCGGGCUCAACCUGGGAACGGCAUCCGGAACUGUCAGGCUAGAGUGCAGGAGAGGAAGGUAGAAUUCCCGGUGUAGCGAUGAAAUGCGUAGAGAUCGGGAGGAAUACCAGUGGCGAAGGCGGUCUUCUGGACUGACACUGACGCUGAGGUGCGAAAGCGUGGGUAGCAAACAGGAUUAGAUACCCCAGUAGUC